This 883-nucleotide ribosomal RNA is filed under the name uncultured Syndiniales. RNAcentral describes it as "SSU rRNA". It matches the Rfam family "Eukaryotic small subunit ribosomal RNA", at positions 54 to 945 of the family's 1831-position model. The record is from RNAcentral. Lineage: Eukaryota; Dinophyceae; Syndiniales.
CGUGUCUCAGUAUAAGUCUCUAUACGGCGAAACUGCGAAUGGCUCAUUAAAACAGUUAUAGUUUAUUUGAUGGUCACUCGUUAUUUGGAUAACUGUGGUAAUUCUAGAGCUAAUACAUGCAUAAAGACCCGAUCUUCUGGGAAGGGUUGUAUUUAUUAGAUACAGAACCAAUCCGCUUGCGGUUUUUGGAUGAUUCAUAAUAAAUGAACGGAGCGCAUGGCUUGUGCCGGCGCUAUUUCAUUCAAGUUUCUGACCUAUCAUGCUUCCGACGGUAGGGUAUUGGCCUACCGUGGCUUUGACGGGUAACGGAGAAUUAGGGUUCGAUUCCGGAGAGGGAGCCCGAGAAACGGCUACCACAUCUAAGGAAGGCAGCAGGCGCGCAAAUUACCCAAUCCUGAUACAGGGAGGUAGUGACAAGAAAUAACAAUGAAAGUGGCAUACGCCAUUUUUCUAUUGGAAUGAGUAGAAUUUAGAUCUCUCUUCGACUAACAAUUGGAGGGCAAGUCUGGUGCCAGCAGCCGCGGUAAUUCCAGCUCCAAUAGCGUAUAUUAAAGUUGUUGCGGUUAAAAAGCUCGUAGUUGGAUUUCUGUUGAGGAAGUCCGGUCCGCACUUUGUGCGUGAUCUGGUUCUGCCUCGGCAUCCUCGCGGGGAACAUGCUGCGCUUGAUUGCGUGGUGUGGUAUUCGCGACUUUUACUUUGAGGAAAUUAGAGUGUUCACGGCAGACAAUUGUCUUGAAUACGUUAGCAUGGAAUAAUAAUAUAGGACCUUGGUUCUAUUUUGUUGGUUUCUAGAACUAAGGUAAUGAUUAAUAGGGAUAAUUGGGGGCAUUUGUAUUAACACGUCAGAGGUGAAAUUCUUGGAUUGUGUUACGACAAACUACUG